RNAcentral lists this ribosomal RNA (434 nucleotides) under uncultured Lachnospiraceae bacterium. RNAcentral's name for it is "bacterial SSU rRNA". It matches the Rfam family "Bacterial small subunit ribosomal RNA", at positions 341 to 792 of the family's 1533-position model. The record is from RNAcentral. Lineage: Bacteria; Bacillati; Bacillota; Clostridia; Lachnospirales; Lachnospiraceae.
ACGGGAGGCAGCAGUGGGGAAUGUUGGACAAUGGGGGAAAGCCUGAUCCAGCGACGCCGCGUGAGUGAAGAAGGAUUUCGGUAUGUAAAGCUCUGUCAGCAAGGAAGAAAAUGACGGUACCUGACUAAGAAGCUCCGGCUAAAUACGUGCCAGCAGCCGCGGUAAUACGUAUGGAGCAAGCGUUAUCCGGAUUUACUGGGUGUAAAGGGAGCGUAGACGGCGUAGCAAGUCUGAAGUGAAAUGCCGGGGCUUAACCUCGGAACUGCUUUUGAUACUGUUUUGCUAGAGUGCAGGAGAGGUAAGCGGAAUUCCUAGUGUAGCGGUGAAAUGCGUAGAUAUUAGGAGGAACACCAGUGGCGAAGGCGGCUUACUGGACUGUAACUGACGUUGAGGCUCGAAAGCGUGGGGAGCAAACAGGAUUAAAUACCCUGGUA